CCUGUCUCAAAACAGAAAACAAGAGGUGUGGCUGCUGAGUCACAUGUGUGUCAGUAGGGGGCAGAGAGGAGAAGGGCUCAGUGCUCUGACCUGUGAACACCUAAAGGAUUAGCAGCCUAAUACU
Molecule: small nucleolar RNA, 124 nt
Filed under: Meriones unguiculatus (Mongolian gerbil)
Lineage: Eukaryota; Metazoa; Chordata; Mammalia; Rodentia; Muridae
Description: Small nucleolar RNA SNORA17 (ENSMUGG00000004280.1)
Rfam family: Small nucleolar RNA SNORA17
About the family: snoRNA ACA 17 belongs to the H/ACA family of snoRNAs and is predicted to guide pseudouridylation of the 28S rRNA at positions U4659 and U4598. It shares the same host gene together with ACA43.
Source: RNAcentral